GUUGAAGCAAACAGAGGUGGAUUGCGAGUUUUUAAAGAAAUAUUGUGAGACACUAACAGAUGAAAACAAAAAGCUUUACAAAGAAUUGCAAGAACUGAAAGCUUUAAAAGUUGGGCAGCCGUUGUACAUGAAGCUGCCGGCUGCAGCCACGCUCACUGUGUGUCCUUCCUGCGAAAGAGUCGGCGCCGGCGCUGCCCAAAACUCAGCCAAGCCUCCUCACCUAUACGGCUCCUUUACUAAUCCCUCAGCAGCUUGUUAAUUAAUUAGUACAGUAUGCAAAUCGUCUUGUUGAAUUUAUUUUUAAUUAAUGUCUUGUUGAUUAACUAGAUUCUUA
Molecule: unclassified non-coding RNA, 334 nt
Filed under: Hevea brasiliensis (rubber tree)
Lineage: Eukaryota; Viridiplantae; Streptophyta; Magnoliopsida; Malpighiales; Euphorbiaceae
Source: RNAcentral